This 185-nucleotide non-coding RNA is filed under the name Sulfuriflexus sp. RNAcentral's name for it is "6S RNA". It matches the Rfam family "6S / SsrS RNA". From Rfam's summary of the family: E. coli 6S RNA was the first non coding RNA to be sequenced, but its function was unknown until recently. It consists of 184 nucleotides that fold into an extended hairpin structure with a large single-stranded internal bulge. The 6S RNA specifically associates with RNA polymerase holoenzyme containing the sigma70 specificity factor. The record is from RNAcentral. Lineage: Bacteria; Pseudomonadati; Pseudomonadota; Gammaproteobacteria; Chromatiales; Granulosicoccaceae.
CAUCCUCUGCAGUGUUCGACAGUGAACCCGGUAUUUUCUUGAGCCUAGUUUUAUUACCCGGGGAGAACUGUGGCAGGAUUGUGUGCAAGUCCGCUGCUGGCGGAAAGCCUUAUGCCCUGCCCCCUUUCCCCACUUGAGCCUCUGGUUCAAGGACAACGGAACGCAACGGCACAGGCGGAGGAUGC